UACACUCCUGCGGGAGGCAGCAGUGAGGAAUAUUGGACAAUGGGUGGAAGCCUGAUCCAGCCAUCCCGCGUGCAGGAAGACGGCCCUAUGGGUUGUAAACUGCUUUUAUCUGGGGAUAAACCUACUUACGUGUAAGUAGCUGAAGGUACCAGAAGAAUAAGCACCGGCUAACUCCGUGCCAGCAGCCGCGGUAAUACGGAGGGUGCAAGCGUUAUCCGGAUUUAUUGGGUUUAAAGGGUCCGUAGGCGGACUGAUAAGUCAGUGGUGAAAUCCGACAGCUUAACUGUCGAACUGCCAUUGAUACUGUUAGUCUUGAGUAAGGUUGAAGUGGCUGGAAUAAGUAGUGUAGCGGUGAAAUGCAUAGAUAUUACUUAGAACACCAAUUGCGAAGGCAGGUCACUAAGUCUUAACUGACGCUGAUGGACGAAAGCGUGGGGAGCGAACAGGAUUAGAAACCCGUGUAGUCCC
RNAcentral lists this ribosomal RNA (468 nucleotides) under uncultured organism. RNAcentral's name for it is "partial 16S ribosomal RNA". It matches the Rfam family "Bacterial small subunit ribosomal RNA", at positions 332 to 797 of the family's 1533-position model. The record is from RNAcentral.